This 449-nucleotide ribosomal RNA is filed under the name uncultured bacterium. RNAcentral describes it as "partial 16S ribosomal RNA". It matches the Rfam family "Bacterial small subunit ribosomal RNA", at positions 29 to 523 of the family's 1533-position model. The record is from RNAcentral.
AACGAACGCUGGCGGCAUGCCUAACACAUGCAAGUCGAACGAGAUCUUCGGGUCUAGUGGCGCACGGGUGCGUAACGCGUGGGAAUCUGCCCUUUGGUUCGGAAUAACAGUUGGAAACGACUGCUAAUACCGGAUGAUGACGAAAGUCCAAAGAUUUAUCGCCAGAGGAUGAGCCCGCGUAGGAUUAGCUAGUUGGUGUGGUAAAGGCGCACCAAGGCGACGAUCCUUAGCUGGUCUGAGAGGAUGAUCAGCCACACUGGGACUGAGACACGGCCCAGACUCCUACGGGAGGCAGCAGUGGGGAAUAUUGGACAAUGGGCGAAAGCCUGAUCCAGCAAUGCCGCGUGAGUGAUGAAGGCCUUAGGGUUGUAAAGCUCUUUCACCGAUGAAGAUAAUGACGGUAGUCGGAGAAGAAGCACCGGCUAACUACGUGCCAGCCGCCGCAGUAA